UACGGGGGGAGCAAGCGUUGUUCGGAUUUACUGGGCGUAAAGGGCGCGUAGGCGGUCGUGACAAGUCACUUGUGAAAUCUCCGGGCUUAACUCGGAACGGUCAAGUGAUACUGUCGGACUAGAGUACAGAAGGGGCAACUGGAAUUCUCGGUGUAGCGGUGAAAUGCGCAGAUAUCAGGAGGAACACCGGUGGCGAAGGCGGGUCUCUGGGCCGAUACUGACGCUGAGGAGCGAAAGCGUGGGGAGCGAACAGG
RNAcentral lists this ribosomal RNA (254 nucleotides) under uncultured bacterium. RNAcentral's name for it is "partial 16S ribosomal RNA". It matches the Rfam family "Bacterial small subunit ribosomal RNA", at positions 524 to 776 of the family's 1533-position model. The record is from RNAcentral.